This 468-nucleotide ribosomal RNA is filed under the name uncultured bacterium. RNAcentral describes it as "partial 16S ribosomal RNA". It matches the Rfam family "Bacterial small subunit ribosomal RNA", at positions 28 to 507 of the family's 1533-position model. The record is from RNAcentral.
GACGAACGCUGGCGGCGUGCUUAACACAUGCAAGUCGAACGGAAAGGCCCUGCUUUUGUGGGGUCCUCGGGUGGCGAACGGGGGAGUAACCCGUGAGUAACCUGCCCUUGACUUUGGGAUAACUUCAGGAAACUUAGGCUAAUACCGGAUAGGAGCUCCUGCUGCAUGGUGGGGGUUGGAAGGUUUCGGCGGUUGGGGAUGGACUCGCGGCUUAUCAGCUUGUUGGUGGGGUAGUGGCUUACCAAGGCUUUGCCGGGUAGCCGGCCUGAGCGGGUGACCGGACACAUUGGGACUGAGAUACGGCACAGACUCGUACGGGAGGCAGCAGUGGGGAAUAUUGCACAAUGGGCGGAAGCCUGAUGUAGCAACGCCGCGUGCGGGAUGACGGCCUUCGGGUUGUAAACCGCUUUCGCCUGUGACGAAGCGUGAGUGACGGUAACGGGUAAAGAAGCACCGGCUAACUACGUG